UACGUAGGGUGCGAGCGUUGUCCGGAAUUAUUGGGCGUAAAGAGCUUGUAGGCGGUUAGUCGCGUCGGAAGUGAAAACUCGGGCCUUAAUCCCGAGCUUGCUUUCCGAUACGGGCUGACUAGAGGAAGGUAGGGGAGAAUGGAAUUCCUGGUGGAGCGGUGGAAUGCGCAGAUAUCAGGAGGAACACCAGUGGCGAAGGCGGUUCUCUGGACCUUUCCUGACGCUGAGAAGCGAAAGCGUGGGGAGCAAACAGGCUUAGAUACCCUAGUAGUCCCUGA
RNAcentral lists this ribosomal RNA (278 nucleotides) under uncultured prokaryote. Its description in RNAcentral is "partial 16S ribosomal RNA". It matches the Rfam family "Bacterial small subunit ribosomal RNA", at positions 524 to 800 of the family's 1533-position model. The record is from RNAcentral.